Molecule: microRNA precursor, 105 nt
Filed under: Canis lupus familiaris (dog)
Lineage: Eukaryota; Metazoa; Chordata; Mammalia; Carnivora; Canidae
Also listed under: 1 other name
Description: mir-8834 microRNA precursor family
Rfam family: mir-8834 microRNA precursor family
Source: Rfam by way of RNAcentral
UGGAGGAACAACCCCAGUGGCUGCGGCAGCUCUGGAGCCCUGGAGUCAGCUCCCGCAGGAACUACAGAGCUCUCAGUCUGCAGGGCCUGGAGGCUCCAGCGCGGG